RNA transcript from Aedes aegypti (yellow fever mosquito), 1079 nucleotides. It is a transcript of the gene named 60S ribosomal protein L3-like, with no coding region annotated. The transcript is spliced from 4 exons. NCBI's taxonomy places the organism in Eukaryota, Metazoa, Arthropoda, Insecta, Diptera, Culicidae. The record is from RefSeq and is a predicted model, not a curated record.
UCUUGGAAACGCCCCAAUUGUGGUCGUUGGAGCUGUCGGCUACAUCGAGACCCCAUUCGGACCUCGUGCCCUGUGCAACGUCUGGGCUCAGCAUUUGUCGGAAGAAUGCCGUCGUCGUUUCUACAAGAACUGGCACGCGAGCAAGAAGAAGGCUUUCACCAAGGCCUCCAAGAAGUGGACCGACGAUCUGGGCAAGAAGUCAUCGAGGAUAACUUCAAGAAAAUGAUCCGCUACUGCAAGUUCAUCCGUGUCAUUGCCCACUCUCAGAUUCGUCUGAUCAAGCAAGGCCAGAAGAAGGCCCACAUCAUCGAAAUCCAGCUGAACGGUGGAACCAUCGAAGAUAAGGUCAACUGGGUCAAGGAGCACCUGGAAAAGCAGUGCCAGUCGCUGAUGUGUUCCGUCAGGAAUGAAAUGAAUCGAUUGCGUUGCCGUCACCAAGGGUAAGGGAUUCAAGGGUGUCACCAGCCGUUGGCACACCAAGAAGCUGCCCCGCAAGACGCACAAGGGUCUGCGCAGGUUGCCUGUAUCGGAGCGUGGCAUCCGUCCCGUGUGGCGUUCACCGUUGCACGUGCCGGUCAGAAGGGUUACCAUCACCGUACGGAAAUCAACAAGAAGAUCUACCGCAUUGGUGCCGGAAUCCACACCAAGGAUGGCAAGGUCGUCAAGAACAGCGCCGCCACCGAGUACGAUCUGACGGACAAGUCCAUCACCCCGAUGGGAGGUUUCCCAUUCUAUGGUGAAAUCAACAACGAUUUCCUGAUGAUCAAGGGCUGCUGCAUCGGUGCCAAGCGCCGUAUCAUCACCCUGCGCAAGUCGCUGCUGGUGCACACCAAGCGUGCCUCGCUGGAACAGAUCAACCUCAAGUUCAUCGACACCUCGUCGAAGAUGGGACAUGGUCGCUUCCAGACGCCGGCUGACAAGCGCGCUUACUACGGUGUGCUCAAGAAGGACCGCAUCCGUGAGGAGAAGGCCCAGGCUGCCGCUGCUGCUGCUGCCGCCAAAUCGUCGGCUUAAGUUCGGUUUAAUCGUUUAGAUGUAUCAUGGUACUGAAAUAAUACAUCCUCUUAAUAUAAUGGUUA